GUCUGUACCAACACUGGAAGAGUAUUCAGUUGUACGGAUUCUGUAAACUAGAUACAUGUACUCCUUUGAUUAGAAAAAAAGAAUUAAAAAAGAAGACUAGCACUGCUUAUUAAAGAAGCUGAUAGGAGAGAGGAAGGGGAGGCCCUGGGGAGGGCAGCCCUGGAGCCAGCAGAGGGCAGGGCCGGGCAGGGCAGGGACGAGUUCAGGCCCCCCACCAACUCUUUGCUAAGGAAAGGAAAGGGCCUAGGGCCAGCCCUGAUGAGUACCCAAAGACCAGGUGGAGGAAGAAUGAACAACCUGUGAGAAGACUAAAGGGGGAGGAAGCUUCCAGAAGGGUGCCAGCCAUACUAAAUGUGACAGAGAAGUCAAGAGAGAACUGAAUGGAACCCUGAUUUAAUCAGUAGAGAUGGCCCACGACAUACAUCCUGGGCCCCACUACCGUGAACUGGCCACCCCGGACUGACUAACUCGCAGGCUGGUCAAGGAGCACAGCAACAACAAACCCCACAUUUUAAAAGCUGGCAUGGAUUUUCAUAGGCCUUAAGAAGUGGCCGUGAACCUUGAAAAUGCACUGCCCACCUUGGCAGAGAGGGAAGACGACAGAGAAGGAAGAACAGGGCAGAAUGCCAUUUGACCAAAGGCGUCCUCAGCAUAGUCUGGGGCUCCUUCAGGAAGAGGGCCCUUUCCAGUUCUGGUGGCCUCCAGGAGUCUCUACACUUCCCUACAGACUUGGCCAGCUUCACUCACUAGGUCAACCCUGAGCUGAAAACAAAAAAAAAGAGAAAUGAAAGCAGAAGAGGGAGCUCACAUUCUUUUCCUGGGUGAUACAGCACUUUUUUUUUUUUUUUUUU
Molecule: long non-coding RNA, 851 nt
Filed under: Equus asinus (donkey)
Lineage: Eukaryota; Metazoa; Chordata; Mammalia; Perissodactyla; Equidae
Description: lncRNA (ENSEASG00005036085.1)
Source: RNAcentral